AACUUCAAAGUUGGGUGAUUAACCUACUACAAUCUUUAAACUUUAGUGGCUGCUAGAGUACUUAACCCAUCAAAGCAACGAGAAAAUUCAAAUGGAAAGUAAGUGACUGAUGCCGAACUCGGAAAGCGUAACCAUUGGCGAGGAAACGUCUGCGUAGUUUCUUUUCCCUCCAUCAGAGCCAAACAGCAUCAUUGCAUCGAGGAUUUGAUUCUUCCGCCGCUUCUCCACUGACCAGGAAAAUGGCGGGGAAAUUUCUUCUCGAGCCUCAGAGGUACCUUUCAGUUUUAGACAGCUCAUUCUCCUUCACUCUCUUCUUGCUCACUAAAUUCGUCGCCGCCGUCCAAUUUCUGUAUUUGUACUUGCGAGUUGCGAAUCUGGAACUUGUAGAGUGUUACUGUAAGUGUAACAUUCGUGGCUGUAGAAUUGCGUUUUGAUUUCUCUUGUCCCGGACGGCCUGGCAUUUUGUUGUUGAUUGGAAAUUUUCACUGUCGUUUUCUUGUGUUAUUCUGGUUUGUACUUAUCUGCUUGGCUCUUCUCCGGAUAGGAUGUAAUUUGAAUUUCCUCGCCUAACAGUGUCUCUGAGAAUUUGAAAAGUCAGCUUCUAAGUUUUUAUAAGCAGCGGAUUUACAGAGAAGUUAGGAUCGCAGAGGAACUAUAAGCAAUGAUUCAUAAGAUUUUGAUUUCAUCAUCAAUGUGUGAAUUCAAAAGUUAUACAGACUUUGACUGAAUACUUUAGUUCUGUUAUUGAUCUUCUUCCCGUUCCUGUACCCUUUGACUAGCAUAUGUGCAAUUGAGCAGGUGAUCAGGUGUAUAGUAUAUGUAUGUGUCACUGUUGUGUGCACACUGGCUUUAAAUUAGGACAGACUAAUAAGCAAACACUGGUGAAAUGACUACAUUCAGGUGAGUUAAUACUUAAUAGCAUGCAUCUGCAGCUGCUCUUUUCAGGAAGAAUGACAUAUUAUUGUUCUGUUUGGCAUUGCCAUUGCUGUGCAAAGUAGUGGUAACAAUGACUUGAAAUAUUAGAUAACAUUCAUCAAUUUCUUAAUGAUAUAUAGAGGAAGGAGAAAAGAGUCAUUUGAACUGACUCAAAGAUAUGUUGGUUCUGCUUAACCUGUCUGAGUAUAUAUUGCAUGUUACAUCCAUUAAUGCAACUUUGACUUGUUCAGCAGUUCUCUAACCACUUCAGAAAGAAAAAACAAGUAGAUGAACAUAAUAGAUGUUCCUGAUUGGGUGUACUUAGCUUUUCUGAGACAAAAUCUGAUAAAUAUAUAUCAUUAGUUGACGAUGAAAUCAGAAGUAGAAUUGAAGAACAGAGGCAACUGCCAUUGGUUGGUAAAUGGAAUUCUGUCAAAGUGUUGGUUGAGAACUAUGCUUGGUUUGUAUUUUUAAUGGACUUGUUAUUUCUGGUUUAAGUUAUGCAUCUAGAAUCCGGCGUGCAUCAGGACAAACAUAUAACAAGAAACAAAUGUUUAGUGCAAGCGGGCAGCAGAUCCUGUUUUCUUUGUGGUUAUAGCUGCAAUAGUGCAUUCACCGACGGUGAUCUAAAAUAUAAAAAAGUAUAUUUUUUCAGCCAUCAGCUGUAAUUUUGUCAAUCAGAAAGUUUGCACUUAUUUUUUUUGGACAAUCAGAAUGUUCGCAUUUAUUUAUUAUAAAAGAUUUGGACAAUUUGACGUGGUUAUUUUACUUUAAUACAGAAUCCAUUACCUCUUUCGGGAAAUCUACUUUCAAACAAUAAUAAUAAAAUGGUGGGAACGAGAUAUUUCCUUUUGACUUGGUAUCAUAUUUUCCCAUGGUUGUUACAGAACACAAGCCAUUUGAUACGACUUUAUUCUGACCUUGAGACUGUUUUCUCAUCCCAGGAUGGUCGCUGUAAACUUCCCAAUUCUUGAGCAACAACUAUAUGGAAUCACAUCCUAAUAGGAAUAAUAGGCGGUUGCUUAAAGUACGGACAGGAAAAGGUGACAGAUAUUGUUGGCUUUCUAGCUUGAAGUGGUAUGAUGCAAAGUUGACAAGCCCAUGAACGUCUCUUCUGGUACCUCUCUUUAACUACGUCUAUCUUCAAGUUAUGAUACAUAAUUUCCACAUAUUUUCAACAAACUAAUCCCUUAUCAUUGCUUUGAAAAGAACAAACAUGAUCUAUUUUACAUCCCCGAAGGGCAAAAGAAUUUCCUAAUUAGGUGCAUGGACACUCCGUAUCUUGUAUCUUAUACCAUGCUCAUGCAGUCAUGCUUACAGUACUUGUCCCAUAUGCUAAGAUAAAUACCUACGUUAAACUACAACAAUAGGCAGUAACUGCUAGUCUGUCAGUCUGUGAUGCAGCCUAUUCUUCAUGGCCAGUCCAGUUGUUCCCAGUCGAUGAAUUGUUCAUCCAGAUAAUCAGCAAUCUCCAUGUCCGCGAUUCGAGCACCUUGAGAGAAGCCAUGGUCUCCUCCUGAGUUGGAAGUUUCAG
RNAcentral lists this long non-coding RNA (2449 nucleotides) under Linum usitatissimum (flax). RNAcentral's name for it is "long non-coding RNA (LUSI_LNC003672)". Lineage: Eukaryota; Viridiplantae; Streptophyta; Magnoliopsida; Malpighiales; Linaceae. The record is from RNAcentral.